CGGGAGGCAGCAGUGAGGAAUAUUGGACAAUGGGCGAGAGCCUGAUCCAGCCAUGCCGCGUGCAGGAUGACUGCCUUAUGGGUUGUAAACUGCUUUUAUACAGGAAGAAACUGCUCUACGUGUAGAGCCCUGACGGUACUGUAAGAAUAAGGAUCGGCUAACUCCGUGCCAGCAGCCGCGGUAAUACGGAGGAUCCAAGCGUUAUCCGAAAUCAUUGGGUUUAAAGGGUCCGUAGGUGGAUAAUUAAGUCAGAGGUGAAAUCCUGCAGCUCAACUGUAGAAUUGCCUUUGAUACUGGUUAUCUUGAGUUACUAUGAAGUAGUUAGAAUAUGUAGUGUAGCGGUGAAAUGCAUAGAUAUUACAUAGAAUACCAAUUGCGAAGGCAGAUUACUAAUAGUACACUGACACUGAUGGACGAAAGCGUGGUGAGCGAACAGGAUUAGAUACCCUGGUAGUCCACGCCCUAAACGAUGUUUACUCG
Molecule: ribosomal RNA, 480 nt
Filed under: uncultured bacterium
Lineage: Bacteria
Description: bacterial SSU rRNA
Rfam family: Bacterial small subunit ribosomal RNA
Source: RNAcentral